Molecule: ribosomal RNA, 555 nt
Filed under: Wolbachia sp.
Lineage: Bacteria; Pseudomonadati; Pseudomonadota; Alphaproteobacteria; Rickettsiales; Anaplasmataceae
Description: bacterial SSU rRNA
Rfam family: Bacterial small subunit ribosomal RNA
Source: RNAcentral
AUAGCCUACCAAGGUAAUGAUCUAUAGCUGAUCUGAGAGGAUGAUCAGCCACACUGGAACUGAGAUACGGUCCAGACUCCUACGGGAGGCAGCAGUGGGGAAUAUUGGACAAUGGGCGAAAGCCUGAUCCAGCCAUGCCGCAUGAGUGAAGAAGGCCUUUGGGUUGUAAAGCUCUUUUAGUGAGGAAGAUAAUGACGGUACUCACAGAAGAAGUCCUGGCUAACUCCGUGCCAGCAGCCGCGGUAAUACGGAGAGGGCUAGCGUUAUUCGGAAUUAUUGGGCGUAAAGGGCGCGUAGGCUGGUUAAUAAGUUAAAAGUGAAAUCCCGAGGCUUAACCUUGGAAUUGCUUUUAAAACUAUUAAUCUAGAGAUUGAAAGAGGAUAGAGGAAUUCCUGAUGUAGAGGUAAAAUUCGUAAAUAUUAGGAGGAACACCAGUGGCGAAGGCGUCUAUCUGGUUCAAAUCUGACGCUGAAGCGCGAAGGCGUGGGGAGCAAACAGGAUUAGAUACCCUGGUAGUCCACGCUGUAAACGAUGAAUGUUAAAUAUGGGGAGUUU